Molecule: long non-coding RNA, 755 nt
Organism: Dermacentor albipictus
Lineage: Eukaryota; Metazoa; Arthropoda; Arachnida; Ixodida; Ixodidae
Source: RefSeq, a predicted model, not a curated record
CUCGGACAGUUAAAGAUGCUUUGUUUAGUUGAAUCAGAGCCAUUUAAUACUUCUCGCUCCCAGGUCCAGUUUUUUAAAUAAAAAACUGGACCUGGGAGCGUUCACGAAUUCGCAGUAACCUACAGUGUGACGAUUGGGAGAAGUAAGGUUGGGGAUAAACUCCCGUAGUCGAGUGAGUUUCUCAUGUGUCACCAUUAAAAGGACAGACAGAAUGCGUCGAAGCCGCGGAACGAGCAAGAACUAUUUAUGACCACAACUACACGGAUGGAAGUGACGCUUCUUGCGUAGCAGACGACGUUCCAGUUCCAGACGCGCACCCUACCGUGGCUAAAGCGAGACUGAAAUCGAGUGCAGCGCCUACGCAAGGAUACAUGAGGAUACGCAUACCAAAUGCAGUUGUGCAGUCAUAUUGGGUGUUGUCAAUGUCAACGCGCACUGAGUAUUAUUUGCCAUUGACUACGUUCCACUUACGACCUGUUAUAGAAGCUCGCGGGAUUAGGUUGUUGGUAGGAAAUCGGGGGAUGCGUUACGGUAGUGUCUUGAGUGCACGAUUGUGUAGUGCGGAGUGAAAGUGAAUGCCUCAUCAGCGGUCCUGUUAAUGGCCACAACCUGUGCGGUCUUCGUUCUCCUAGCUGUAUCUCCUGUUGCUUUGCGAGACUGACUUUCAGGACUCUGCUAUGCACCUGGACUUUGGAGGCACCUCUGUAUUAAAAAACGAUUUCUGCAUAUCUGGAAAUUAAAUUUUUUUAAUAAGA